Molecule: ribosomal RNA, 274 nt
Filed under: uncultured bacterium
Lineage: Bacteria
Description: partial 16S ribosomal RNA
Rfam family: Archaeal small subunit ribosomal RNA
Source: RNAcentral
AAACCAGCACCUCAAGUGGUCAGGAGGAUUAUUGGGCCUAAAGCAUCCGUAGCCUGCUUUGUAAGUUUCCGGUUAAAUCCAUUAGCUCAACUAAUGGGCCGCCGAAAAUACUGUGGAACUAGGGAGUGGGAGAGGUAGACGGUACUCGGUAGGAAGGGGUAAAAUCCUUUGAUCUACUGAUGACCACCUGUGGCGAAGGCGGUCGACCAGAACACGUUCGACGGUGAGGGAUGAAAGCUGGGGGAGCAAACCGGAUUAGAGACCCGGGUAGUCC